Molecule: ribosomal RNA, 253 nt
Filed under: uncultured bacterium
Lineage: Bacteria
Description: partial 16S ribosomal RNA
Rfam family: Bacterial small subunit ribosomal RNA
Source: RNAcentral
UACGUAGGGUGCAAGCGUUAAUCGGAAUUACUGGGCGUAAAGCGCACGCAGGCGGUUGGUUAAGUCAGAUGUGAAAGCCCCGGGCUCAACCUGGGAAUUGCAUUUGAAACUGGCCAACUAGAGUACGUGAGAGGGGGGUAGAAUUCCAAGUGUAGCGGUGAAAUGCGUAGAGAUUUGGAGGAAUACCAGUGGCGAAGGCGGCCCCCUGGCACGAUACUGACGCUCAGGUGCGAAAGCGUGGGGAGCAAACAGG